RNAcentral lists this ribosomal RNA (253 nucleotides) under uncultured bacterium. RNAcentral describes it as "partial 16S ribosomal RNA". It matches the Rfam family "Bacterial small subunit ribosomal RNA", at positions 524 to 776 of the family's 1533-position model. The record is from RNAcentral.
UACGUAGGGUCCGAGCGUUGUCCGGAAUUACUGGGCGUAAAGAGCUCGUAGGUGGUUUGUCGCGUUGUUCGUGAAAACUCACAGCUCAACUGUGGGCGUGCGGGUGAUACGGGCAGACUAGAGUACUGCAGGGGAGACUGGAAUUCCUGGUGUAGCGGUGGAAUGCGCAGAUAUCAGGAGGAACACCGGUGGCGAAGGCGGGUCUCUGGGCAGUAACUGACGCUGAGGAGCGAAAGCGUGGGGAGCGAACAGG